This is a long non-coding RNA of Oryzias latipes (Japanese medaka), 1169 nucleotides long. RefSeq lists it as uncharacterized. The record is from RefSeq and is a predicted model, not a curated record. Lineage: Eukaryota; Metazoa; Chordata; Actinopteri; Beloniformes; Adrianichthyidae.
AACCUGAGAGAACAGCUCAGGUGACAACCUCAAAAAAAGUGCACCAACGUGGGUUCAGAGCUGAAGGAAAUGGCUACAGGUGUUUUCGGAAGGUUGUGCGGGAAAGCCAGUGGAUCUUGUGACAUGUUUGCGCAUCCUGCAGAUUAAUAACUAGGAGAGCAAUCGUUGGAAAUGUGUCUGUUAAUGAAUAAACGCGUUUUAUGGAGAAGUUUUCCUGAACGGAAUCCAACAAUGUUUUCCCGUUCUCCUCGUCGGCACUGGAUCGGCACAUAAAAGAGCCUGUUUGGCUAAACAGCUUCAUUCAUGUCGGUGAGGCAUUUUUUCUCUUUGAACGGGGGCUUUUGAGCCUCUGGACGGGGCUUUCCGUAGGUUCUGCCUCCAAAUCACACCCAGAGACUCUACCCGAUCUCUCAUUGUGGAAAUUGGAUCGAUUGGAUCCGGGUGCAGAAAUGAGAAGUUUUGGAUUUUUCAUGUCUGCGACAGACUGGUGACCCAUCCAAGCUGAGCCCCGCCUACGCCCAUCAGUGGCAUGGAUAGGCUCCAGCAACCCCGUUUGCUUGGAGUAAUGGAUGGAGGAUGGAUUCUUCAGGUCCAAACGUGCUUCAUGGUUGAAUAAAUGGCAUGAAUUUAGCUGGUGAACUUAUUAACUCUGGUGGGCUUUUGUAUUAACUUUCUGCAUUACAUAUUUCUUGGGUCUCUCUAAAAUGCAGACAGCCUCUCUUCAAGCUCCUCCUCACAUCCGAUAAGUUGUGCAGACAGUUAUACUGUAUAUCAGCAUGACCCAGAUGCAGGACAGAUAGGGCAAAGCUCAGUGAAGAACUUGUAAUUUAAUAACAAAAAUAUGUAAAAUAAUGAAAAAACUGUUUUCUUGUCACCAUGUCACCACUUUCGCCAAUCCGGAUUGAACCUGAAGGAAGUUCACUCACCUUCUACCUGAGCGUGGGCUCGGGAGAAUCUGCCAAUCAGACUUUUGAACUGUUCAAUGUGGCAGAAUCAAAGAUGGGCAGGUCAACUAAUUUACCAUUGGCUAAUGAAUGAAUGUUUCACUCAGGAUAGUUUGCUAAUACCUUAUCCUUAUUAGCUAUCAUCUGCUAUCAUCCUACACUGGGCCCUAUGUUUGUUUGUUUUUUAUCUUUCUGAAAUAAAGUAUUAUAUGUCUUUUAUAGAAA